AACUGAUUUAUGAUUUUUUUAGGUUGACUGAAUAUUAGUGGCAAUGCAGAAGACUGAAGGCUGCUGUUAACAAAGGUGCAGAUGUCACCAACUGAAGAUCAGGACACAUCUUCCUACAGCCAAAUAUUCUUUUUCAAACACAGGGAAAAGGAGAGAGGAUCGUGUAGGACACCUCUGGCAGUUAUUACUCAGCAACCAUAAGUUCAAUGAGGUAUGUGCAUGUGUUAGGAGUCAGGGUC
Molecule: long non-coding RNA, 239 nt
Filed under: Fukomys damarensis (Damara mole-rat)
Lineage: Eukaryota; Metazoa; Chordata; Mammalia; Rodentia; Bathyergidae
Description: lncRNA (ENSFDAG00000022578.1)
Source: RNAcentral